This 463-nucleotide ribosomal RNA is filed under the name uncultured bacterium. RNAcentral's name for it is "partial 16S ribosomal RNA". It matches the Rfam family "Bacterial small subunit ribosomal RNA", at positions 28 to 507 of the family's 1533-position model. The record is from RNAcentral.
GACGAACGCUGGCGGCGUGCUUAACACAUGCAAGUCGAGCGGAAAGGCCACUUCGGUGGUACUCGAGCGGCGAACGGGUGAGUAACACGUGCGUAAGCUGCCCCUGGCUUUGGGAUAGGCACCGGAAACGGUGAUUAAAACCGGAAAUGACACAUUCUCGCAAGAGGUUGGGUGGAAAGUUUUUCAGCCAGGGCUGUGCUCGCGGCCUAGCAGCUUGCUGGUGAGGUAAUGGCUGCCCAGGGCUUCGACGGGUAGCCGGCCUGGGAGGGUAGACGGUCACAAUGCUCCUGCGGCACGGCCCAGUCUCCUACGUUAGGCAGAAGUCGGGAGUCUUACCCAGUGAGCCCAAGCCUGUUCCGGCGACCCCGCGUGAGGAAUGCCCUCUUUCUGGUUGUGAACCUCUUUCAGUACCGACGUAGCGCUAGUGACGGUACCUACAGAAGAAGCACCGGCUAACUACGUG